CGGAUCUUUCUCUCGUGUGUCUCCUUGAAUCGACCGAAAAGUAAAAAUUACUGCUAUGAAAUGAAUAGCACUGGAAACAAUAAGAUUCAAUAACGCAGUUAGCCUGAAAUGAAAAUUUUUUUAUUCCGGCUUGGUUUUUUGCCAACUUCAUCGUCAUGUCCUUGAGGAUGUUACUGCUCCCGAGACUCCUCUGUCUGUUUGGUGUUUCCAUGCAACAGGGAUAGAGCGAUUGUAAACUUGCGCAGCCCAUCUUGGGAAGAUUUUUACCUUUAAACUGAACGCCUGGCUUUAGAAUGGAAGUGACUAUUCAUUUUUUUAAUGCACCCUUUUGGAAAUUCUAGCUGCUUGUGUACCAACACGCCACAUAAAAAGAACAUUCCCGUGCCAACAAUUAUUUUAUUUUCCCGUUUGUGUUAUUUUGGAAUAAUGUUUUAGCCGAAAACCAUGUUGCAAACUGACACUGACGUCAUUGUUUCCCUUCGUCACGGCUAUGCCGUAUAGUUUACGUAAUUAACUUUAGAAGCAUAUCCUGUAUCAACCAUUUUUGCUUUCAUUUGACGUCAUUACUUGACUUGACGUCACAUUUAUUUCAACCAAUACAGCGCGAAAGAAAAACUAUUGCACGGGGAAUCUUACAAUAAGACUCUUUCGCAACAAUGAUUCCGGUCACGCCUGUAGCUAAAUGUGCUGCAGUGUUGGACGUUGACUUAGGUUGACCUAUUUAGGGUUCAUCUUACUAUCUCACGAAACCAUCGUCGACGAAAAUGACUUGCUACAAAUGUUUUCCUUUGGAGUUUUCCACUUUCUACUUAAACAAAGUAUAGGUGGUUGUUGUUUUUAGAAAGGGCAGUAAGCCGAUUAUUGACAAACAAUAAUACCAGCACAUUUCGCACACAAAACAGAAUAGUAGAUCGCCUAAUCUAAUCGCCUUCAGCACGUUCAACUUUGCAAGAUCCUCGCUAGACAAUCGAUGUUGCCCUAGGUAGAUGACCCAUUUUAGCAAUGGGAUAUGAUGUGCUCAGCUCAGUGGUUGUUUCAAGAGAAUCAACUGUCUAUCAGCUAUAGCCAUGUUAAUCGUUUCUUGGCUAUAUUUCUUUGUUGUUAAGGUAUAUCGACUAUGAUUCUUCAUGCCAAUCGCAUGUAGAAAUGUUGGAUUACCCCUUGGCGCUUAACCUGGAAAAAUUAAGGCUGCAAUCAUUGCGUGUGCCCCCCAAAAAAUGACACAACAUGGUCCCAGUUAAUCCUUGCAGGUCCCAUCUAAUUGUUUGUAUAGCAAACUUGCAAGGCAAAAGUUUUUUUGUCUCUAUGACUUUGUGCUGGUAAAUCAAUGUUUGUUAUGAAACAAAAAACAUGUUCUGUUUAGGGAUUGAACGGCCAUUACUUGCUGGGUAUGCUACCUGUAUUCGUUCGAUGUAAAAGAAUCAUAACAGAAACAUGUGUUAAAGCAAACAAACAAAUAAAAAACUCAAGGGCGAGGCUAAAAAUGCUGUAACUUGGAUCGUCGCCAUAUAUGCAAAAUUGCGUUGCAAAAAAAGCAAGGCGAAUAACAAAAAAGAUAGAUACACUCUUCUUUCAGUCUCCGGUAGACUACGUGUCAGCAACCAUCCAACUCUUUCUCAGAACAAGAAAUACCUUUGAAAACAAAGGACAAUAUCUUGAAACAAAAAAACAAGUCACGCUUCUCUGCGAAACGGAAAUAUUUUCACCGAAGCCGCAGGCAAAUUCAAACUGCUUUUUUCCAUGCUUAAUCCUGUAGUAUGCACGCAGGUGGAAAUUACUGUAAAUACGCUGCCAUAGAGAAUUUAAGUUUCUGUAUCUUUUUUUGGCUGAUACUGCACUUUCUCUAAGGACAGGACUCAUCGAAAAUUCCAUGCCAGUCCAGAAUGUCCAUGCCUCGACAAGUCUAUGUCUCAAAUUUGUUUGCUUAUUGAUGGCGUGCAACAGGAAACCAGUGUUCGAGAUAACAGGCGAAUGGGAUACCUAUCUGUAACCGAAUGUACGCAUGCAAUUUUUUUUUUCUAUUCUGUAAUUGAAAUUUCUAAAGCUUUGCCUGUUUGUCCGGAAUUACUUUAUCCGGAUUCUUUCGCGCCUUAGUCUCGAGAAACAAUACAAUAAACAUUUAUUAUUGA
Long non-coding RNA from Daphnia magna, 2129 nucleotides. RefSeq lists it as uncharacterized. Lineage: Eukaryota; Metazoa; Arthropoda; Branchiopoda; Diplostraca; Daphniidae. The record is from RefSeq and is a predicted model, not a curated record. The transcript has 3 exons.